CCCGCACAAGCGGUGGAGUAUGUGGUUUAAUUCGACGCAACGCGAAGAACCUUACCAGGCCUUGACAUACUCGGCAAAGCUCUAGAGAUAGAGUGGAGGUUAUCCGGGAUACAGGUGGUGCAUGGUUGUCGUCAGCUCGUGUCGUGAGAUGUUGGGUUAAGUCCCGCAACGAGCGCAACCCUUGUCUUUAGUUACCAUCAUUAAGUUGGGGACUCUAGAGAGACUGCCGGUGAUAAACCGGAGGAAGGUGGGGAUGACGUCAAAUCAUCAUGCCCCUUAUGGCCUGGGCUACAAACGUAAUACAAUGGCGUAUACAAAGGGAUGCGAAAGGGCGACCUGGAGCAAAACUCACAAAGUACGUCUCAGUUCAGAUUGGAGUCUGCAACUCGACUCCAUGAAGGCGGAAUCGCUAGUAAUCGCGGAUCAGCAUGCCGCGGUGAAUACGUUCUCGGGGUUU
Molecule: ribosomal RNA, 457 nt
Filed under: uncultured Erysipelothrix sp.
Lineage: Bacteria; Bacillati; Bacillota; Erysipelotrichia; Erysipelotrichales; Erysipelotrichaceae
Description: bacterial SSU rRNA
Rfam family: Bacterial small subunit ribosomal RNA
Source: RNAcentral